GAUGAACGCUGGCGGCGUGCCUAAUACAUGCAAGUCGAGCGAACGGACGAGAAGCUUGCUUCUCUGAUGUUAGCGGCGGACGGGUGAGUAACACGUGGAUAACCUACCUAUAAGACUGGGAUAACUUCGGGAAACCGGAGCUAAUACCGGAUAAUAUUUUGAACCGCAUGGUUCAAAAGUGAAAGACGGUCUUGCUGUCACUUAUAGAUGGAUCCGCGCUGCAUUAGCUAGUUGGUAAGGUAACGGCUUACCAAGGCAACGAUGCAUAGCCGACCUGAGAGGGUGAUCGGCCACACUGGAACUGAGACACGGUCCAGACUCCUACGGGAGGCAGCAGUAGGGAAUCUGCCGCAAUGGGCGAAAGCCUGACGGAGCAACGCCGCGUGAGUGAUGAAGGUCUUCGGAUCGUAAAACUCUGUUAUUAGGGAAGAACAUAUGUGUAAGUAACUGUGCACAUCUUGACGGUACCUAAUCAGAAAGCAACGGCUAACUACGUG
This 497-nucleotide ribosomal RNA is filed under the name uncultured bacterium. RNAcentral's name for it is "partial 16S ribosomal RNA". It matches the Rfam family "Bacterial small subunit ribosomal RNA", at positions 28 to 507 of the family's 1533-position model. The record is from RNAcentral.